GGCUCGGUAACUUAAUUGGUAAAGCACUCGUCUAGUAUACAAUAGUCGUGAGUUCGAAUCCCACCUGAGCAC
This 72-nucleotide transfer RNA is filed under the name Aedes aegypti (yellow fever mosquito). It matches the Rfam family "tRNA". From Rfam's summary of the family: Transfer RNA (tRNA) molecules are approximately 80 nucleotides in length. Their secondary structure includes four short double-helical elements and three loops (D, anti-codon, and T loops). The record is from Rfam by way of RNAcentral. Lineage: Eukaryota; Metazoa; Arthropoda; Insecta; Diptera; Culicidae.